RNAcentral lists this ribosomal RNA (254 nucleotides) under uncultured bacterium. RNAcentral's name for it is "partial 16S ribosomal RNA". It matches the Rfam family "Bacterial small subunit ribosomal RNA", at positions 524 to 776 of the family's 1533-position model. The record is from RNAcentral.
UACGUAGGCAGCGAGCGUUGUUCGGAGUUACUGGGCGUAAAGGGUGUGUAGGCGGUUGUUUAAGUUUGGUGUGAAAUCUCCCGGCUCAACUGGGAGGGUGCGCCGAAUACUGAAUGACUUGGAGUGCGGGAGAGGUGAGUGGAAUUCCUGGUGUAGCGGUGAAAUGCGUAGAUAUCAGGAAGAACACCCGUGGCGAAGGCGGCUCUCUGGGACGGUACUGACGCUGAGACGCGAAAGCGUGGGGAGCGAACAGG